UGUUAAAUUGUCUCAGCUAUAUACUGUAAAUGCAAUGCUUUCAAAUUAUUAUUUAUUAAAAGAAAAAGAAGCAGUUCCGAUAUAAUACUAUUAAUAUUUCAAAAUCAAUAUUUCACAAUCAAAUUUAGCAAAAUCAUACUAACGUGCAGGUAGCCAUUUUAUUGUCAUGACAUGUAUGUGCACUUUGUAUUAUGUGCCAUUUUUAGCAAAUAAUAUUUUGAAGAUUGAAGAUGUUUUUUAAUGUAUGAAACCAACAUAAAUACGAAUAUGACAUUUUUAAGAGCUUGGCAGAUAUGUUUUGAAUGAGGUUUUAGGCUAAUUAAUGAAAUGCUCUCACUUUUUGUGGUACUCUGAUGUGUAAAAGGGAGACAUCGCCAUCCGCCGGUUAAUUCUAGUAACCGCAGUCUGCAGAGAACUUUUGGCGCCUAGUUGAGUGACAGGUGGCUGAGGGUAAAUUGAGUGCCCAAACCGGGCCAGAGGUUUAUUCAUUUAAAGUAAUUAGAAAUGCACAAAUUGCUUAAGUAAUUUUCCUAAGAAACAUGUUAAAAAGCAUUUGUCAUAUAUCUGGCGUCGAAUAAGCGCUCGAAUAUCAAGGCAAUUAGGUAAUUUCUCACGAGAUUAGAUGUUGUGAGACAAGGUUUCAUGUCGGAUUAGUCUCUGUGCCAAGAAACGCGUUUGGUUUCAACUAAGAACGUCCCAGAUAGGUCUGAUCUCAGCCUCAGUUCCUGAUGUUCUCAGGAACUCUUCUAUAGUUGAAUUGUUUACACAAAGAAAAGCUCUCUGUAACAUACUUCAGUCAAGACAAUACUGAUGAUGAUUCUGAAUGACACAUGGACAAGAUGACUCAAGCAAAUGUAUACGUGUACAGUUUAAGUUUAAAUGAAAUGUGCUUCAAUGAAGAAUGAAGAUAGGAUCAGCCAAAAAUGUUGGUGGUGGCACUACAGAUGACCAUUGACAGAGGAAUGCUUUAUUCAAUUCGUACCAUCCAGAGUUAGAGGGCUGUGCUGUCUUGACAGCUAACGUCCUCCUGGUACACUCCGAUUUGAUAUGAGGCUGACUUUUUGAGACGAGCUCUACACCAUCCUUGUAACAACACACAUUGGCAUUUGGAUCUGAGAUCUCACCGUGCAAAUCAGUGGAGUAGUCUGCUUCAACCAGCUGGUUCUUCACUGUGUCUGGUAAUGCUGAGAACAUCACCGACCAUCUGCCAAGAAGUUAAAUAAUGCAAAACAUGUAACAUCUGUAUCAAAUCACUGCCAACAAGUUGGAUGCAAUGGUGAGAGGCAUGUCCAUAACAGCACUGCUAAGAGACGCAGACAACAAAAAGCUUGAAUUGAACUGGACAGAGUCGUCAGAUGAUUCACAGCGGUACAAUCCAGAAUGACUGGGCUCAGCUGGAUUGACUACCAGUAUCCUUACAUCUCCCUCUGACUGAAUAUCCAAACCAGUCUCUGGCUGAAGCUGCGUAUCGUUGUGGAA
This is a long non-coding RNA of Onychostoma macrolepis, 1479 nucleotides long. RefSeq lists it as uncharacterized. The transcript has 7 exons. The record is from RefSeq and is a predicted model, not a curated record. NCBI's taxonomy places the organism in Eukaryota, Metazoa, Chordata, Actinopteri, Cypriniformes, Cyprinidae.